UACGUAGGGUGCGAGCGUUAAUCGGAAUUACUGGGCGUAAAGCGUGCGCAGGCGGUUUUGUAAGCCAGAUGUGAAAUCCCCGGGCUUAACCUGGGAAUGGCAUUUGGGACUGCAAGGCUUGAGUUUGGCAGAGGAGACUGGAAUUCCUGGUGUAGCAGUGAAAUGCGUAGAUAUCAGGAGGAAUACCGAUGGCGAAGGCAGGUCUCUGGGCUAGAACUGACGCUCAUGCACGAAAGCGUGGGGAGCAAACGAGGAU
This 256-nucleotide ribosomal RNA is filed under the name uncultured bacterium. RNAcentral's name for it is "partial 16S ribosomal RNA". It matches the Rfam family "Bacterial small subunit ribosomal RNA", at positions 524 to 779 of the family's 1533-position model. The record is from RNAcentral.